GAACCAGCCCGCGGUCGCGAGUUGUGACAAUGUGCCCGCCGGCUGCAGCUCUCAUUCCAGUCAUCACCGAGCGUCUGUUACGUCGCGAUCCCGAUAGCGGCGAGCGCGAAAUCGGCUCUUGACCGUCUCUAUCGUGUAUCCGUCUUGUCACGUGCUGAUACACAACCGCGUUCUCCCUCUCAAUGGCGAUUCCGAAAUUCACGGGAGUGCAUCGCGCACGCAUUUCGAGAACGCUGCAUUGCGCAAACGACAGUGGGGACUGAAUAAAUUAUUUAAAUCUGUGUCGUGACUCUAUAGAUUCGUGACAGAUAUCCUUGAUUCAUGGUCGGCUGAAAACUCGUCGACGACACUCGAUGGAUACGCGAAUCCAUCGUCUCCCGAGGCAUUUUUUCAUGAGAUAUCUAUACUUCGACUGGAUGUAGAAACGCAGUCUGACGACACGUGGUAUUGAGAUUUGGAAAUUGGUGAUUGGCGUGAAUCUUUGAUAGUAUCUGCAGAGUAAUUACAUCUUCAGGACCAAAUACGUAUAAGUUAAUUUGUAAUUGGGAAUUAAGAUUUGAUGUAUAUUAGAAUCUACGAGGUAGUAGGAGAACCAGUGACUGAUUUUUCAAACAAGGUGUGUUCCUUCCUUGAGCCUUCUAGUUCUGCGAACUUGUUGAUUCAAGUUGUUUAGGUGUAUUAAGAACACAUAUAUGUAUAUAUUAGGAGGGCCCAAAAGUAAUGUCGCUUUUGCGAAUGUCAAUACUUAUAAUUGGAUAUUAAGAUUUAAUGUAUAUUAGUAUCUACGAGGUGGUAGGAGAACCAGUGACUGAUUUUUCAAACAAUGUGUGUUCCUUCCUUGAGCCUUCUAGUUCUGCGAACUUGUUGAUUCAAGUUGUUUAGGUAAUUUCUUUAUAUGUACAGUGUCCAAAAUUUCCAUAAAGCCACCACGUUUUUUGGUAACAUCUUAUAAUUAUUCUGUACUUAUGAUUAAUUUGAGUAUGAUUUCAUUUUAGGUGUAUUAAGAACACAUAUAUGUAUAUAUUAGGAGGGCCCAAAAGUAAUGUCGCUUUUGCGAAUGUCAAUACUUGUGUAUCAUUUAUCUUCUCAUUAUAUACCAGUGAUUUUAAUGGAUCAGGUAUUGGAACUUUGCAUACCAGAUAGCAAAAGGUUGUUGAUAACGAGAACGAUUACAUGACUGAUCGAAAAUAAAAACUUGUUAUACGUGUAUUUGUUUGAAUUUAAUGUAAAAGGAACGACAUUAUUUUCUGGUCCCCCUAAUAGAUUGAUAUAAUAGAAAUAAUAUUUAUUUGAAGAAAUAAACGUAAUUAUAUGAUCAUAUAUCAAAUAAACUGCAAAAUUUCUAUAAAGCCAUAUAUUUUUUAAAUAACUAGGUUCGAAAUUAACAGCAAGAUCUUUUUUAUUUCUUCGUUAAUAAUGUACACGUCUUGCAGUUACUGACCAAUUUAAUUCAAUGCGAAGUUGUGCUGCACUUCUCAAUUCUUUUGAUGCAGAUCACAUUAAUAAUGAAUGCUGUCUCUUUGUCAGCUUUUGAUUUUUAUGCAUAUACUUACUUUUUUAUUGGAGUUUCACUUCCUUUAUUGUACCUAGUUGGACUUACUAACUCAGAAUCUAAGCAUAGACUAAGUGGCCUUAUAGAAAUUUUGCACUUAUAUUUUGCUUCGUACAGCAAAAAAUGUAUACACACCCAAAAGGUAAACAUUUCCGAGCAGAUACUCUUAGAUUUGUGAUUAGUAUCAAUUAAAUGUAAUUGUAGGUGAGAAAAAAGUAGUAAAGUUAAUAAUAUUUUUAAAAAAUUGGUCAAAAUAUUGGUGACUUUAUGGAAAUUUUGGACACUGUAAGCUUCGCAAGAGAUUGAAACUGGUUUAGCCUGUGGGUAAAGUACGUAGAGAAAGCUUGAUUUUAAAAUUAGCAUCGAGAACGUCAGUAACGUUGCAAGGCAAAUAAUAACCAAGGACGCGAUUGUUAUUUACUGGUCAAGCUGAACAUGCCAGAUGUUUCUUUAGGUAAUUUGCAACGUUUAGCAAGCUUCUCCUUUUUUAAGUUGAAUUAUGCCACACUCAAAGAUCUUUAGUUUUUGUUGUGAAUCAUUAUACAGGUUAAUUCAAGAAACUCUGUUGAUUUUAGCGACCAACUUUGAUCGAUUAUGCUACCUAACGGUGUACCUACCAGCUGUGCUAAAUAUUUCAACGAAACUUGCUACAAUCUUGUUGCGAGUAGCCCUACAAAAUUCAAUAUAUGCAAAUUUAAGAAUAAUAUGCAAAUAAUAAGAAUAAUAAAAUAAGUUUUCAUAAUAGAAUGAUAGAAAAUAAAGUAUAUUAAUUGCAUAGAAAUAAUAUACAUUUUGUUUAUAAAUAGCGUGAAGUGCAAAACAGUUUCAUAUUAAAUUUAUUAAUAAUUCGAGACAAUAGAAUUUCAGAGAAAGAAAAUUUAUCUAAUAAUAAUUUAUAAAUUUUAUAUAUUUUGCAGUUAGACUUUGAAGUUGAAUUGCAGUGUUUCUCAAACUUUGAUUAGUCUUGAAAUAGAGAUGAUAAACAUAUGUUUACGGUUUAAUACUUUUUAUACAAUCAUAACAUAACAUCGUUUCAGUUAUUUAACUAUGAUUAUUAUUAUUAGGAAUUGAUCUAAUACUUUAGGUAGUUUAUUAGUUGACUUUUUAUCAUAGCAGUCAAUAGUUUAUUUAUUACUGAGAUAGCAUUGUAUGAUCUAAUCGUUAUAUGAAUGAUGAAAUAUUAUAUAAAUAUAAUCUGAUUAAAAGUGUACUAUAAGUAUGAAAUAAUUUCUAGUUAAUUUAUAUAAAUACUCAUCAGCUUUAGAUAUAAGCUAGAGUAUUGCUUAAAAGUAUGACAAAAUGCAUUGAAAAGUAUGAAAUAAUUUUUAUUAAAACUGCAUUAUUACUCACCAGCUCUUGAUGAAUAUGAUUAAAUUAUUAAAUAUAAUGCAACACUUUCGUAGGCGGCGCAAAAUUUAAAAUUACCUACUUUCAAAAUUACCAAACAAGGUUUAACUUUCUAACCGAGAAACAAAAAGUAUGACCUUUAAUUAGUGCUAUUAUUAUAUCCGCUUUAGGAUUAUUAUAUUUGCAUUAAGAGUAUUUCAUAUCGCUGUAUUCAACUAAAUAUCACAAAGAUACUCAGACAGUAUUUCCAUGGAGACAUAUCACACGUAGACGUAUCAAACAUACUCGGACAGUAUUUUCAUGGAGAAAACUGU
This is a long non-coding RNA of Hylaeus anthracinus, 3213 nucleotides long. RefSeq lists it as uncharacterized. Lineage: Eukaryota; Metazoa; Arthropoda; Insecta; Hymenoptera; Colletidae. The transcript is spliced from 3 exons. The record is from RefSeq and is a predicted model, not a curated record.